This is a long non-coding RNA of Chroicocephalus ridibundus (black-headed gull), 379 nucleotides long. RefSeq lists it as uncharacterized. The transcript is spliced from 3 exons. The record is from RefSeq and is a predicted model, not a curated record. Lineage: Eukaryota; Metazoa; Chordata; Aves; Charadriiformes; Laridae.
GGCGGGGCCUGGCGCCGGUGCCGCCGCGCCCCGGCUGGGCUGUGGCGGCCGCCCAGGCCGUCUGUGCGCGUCCGUCCGGUGCCCGGCGGUGGCUGCCCGCCGCUCGGCUGCAUGUUGUGCUAAUACAGAGAACCAAUUUGCAUAACUUCUGUCAGUCUUGAAGCACUGCCUGAGCGCUUUGUGGUACAGAAGCGGCAGGAAACACAUCACAGGAGAAGAUGUGAUCUCGGCAGAGUUCUGUUGUCAGUCCAAUCACCCCUGAAACCUGAGGUAAACUAUCAGAGGAAGGAAGGAGGAUGCUUUCUAGCAGGUUAUCUCAUUAAGCUGCUUCGGAUCUGCAAAAAAAUAUGAAAAGCGAUUGAUUUCCUGCAGUAAUUCU